Otolemur garnettii (small-eared galago) is the source of this 107-nucleotide small nuclear RNA. NCBI's taxonomy places the organism in Eukaryota, Metazoa, Chordata, Mammalia, Primates, Galagidae. The record is from Ensembl.
GUUCUUGCUUCGGCGGCACAUAUUCUAAAAUUGGAACAAUACAGAGAAGAUUAGCAUGCCCCCUGCACAAGGAUGACAUACAAAUUCAUGAAGUGUUCUAUAUUUUU